This 65-nucleotide transfer RNA is filed under the name Dipodomys ordii (Ord's kangaroo rat). It matches the Rfam family "tRNA". From Rfam's summary of the family: Transfer RNA (tRNA) molecules are approximately 80 nucleotides in length. Their secondary structure includes four short double-helical elements and three loops (D, anti-codon, and T loops). Further hydrogen bonds mediate the characteristic L-shaped molecular structure. tRNAs have two regions of fundamental functional importance: the anti-codon, which is responsible for specific mRNA codon recognition, and the 3' end, to which the tRNAs corresponding amino acid is attached (by aminoacyl-tRNA synthetases). tRNAs cope with the degeneracy of the genetic code in two manners: having more than one tRNA (with a specific anti-codon) for a particular amino acid; and 'wobble' base-pairing, i.e. permitting non-standard base-pairing at the 3rd anti-codon position. Lineage: Eukaryota; Metazoa; Chordata; Mammalia; Rodentia; Heteromyidae. The record is from Rfam by way of RNAcentral.
GGUGGCUCAGUGGUAGAGCACUUGCCUUGCAUGCAUGAGGCACUGGGUUUGUGUUCUCAGCACCA